This 552-nucleotide ribosomal RNA is filed under the name uncultured fungus. Its description in RNAcentral is "SSU rRNA". It matches the Rfam family "Eukaryotic small subunit ribosomal RNA", at positions 20 to 575 of the family's 1831-position model. The record is from RNAcentral. Lineage: Eukaryota; Fungi.
GUAGUCAUAUGCUUGUCUCAAAGAUUAAGCCAUGCAUGUCUAAGUAUAAGCAAUUAUACCGCGAAACUGCGAAUGGCUCAUUAAAUCAGUUAUCGUUUAUUUGAUAGUACCUUACUACAUGGAUAACCGUGGUAAUUCUAGAGCUAAUACAUGCUAAAAAUCCCCGNCUUCGGAAGGGGAUGUAUUUAUUAGAUUAAAACCNAUGCNCUUCGGGGCUCUCUGGUGAUUCAUAAUAACUUCUCGAAUCGCACGGCCUUGCGCCGGCGAUGGUUCAUUCAAAUUUCUGCCCUAUCAACUUUCGACGGCUGGGUCUUGGCCAGCCGUGGUGACAACGGGUAACGGAGGGUUAGGGCUCGACCCCGGAGAAGGAGCCUGAGAAACGGCUACUACAUCCAAGGAAGGCAGCAGGCGCGCAAAUUACCCAAUCCCGACACGGGGAGGUAGUGACAAUAAAUACUGAUACAGGGCUCUUUCGGGUCUUGUAAUUGGAAUGAGUACAAUUUAAACCCCUUAACGAGGAACAAUUGGAGGGCAAGUCUGGUGCCAGCAGCC